AACAAGCCUCCUGCCUCAGCCAGUGUGUAGUUGGGAUUACAGCUCAAGUGGGAAGCCCUGGAGCCAUUCUGACUCCUCUCCCAUCUGGUGCAUCAGGAAAGACUGUGGGAACUACCUUCAAAUUAUCUCCAGGAGCCAGCUGCCUCCCGCCCCUCCACUGUGACCACCCUUGUCCAAGCCUGCGUCGCCUCUCACCUGCAUUCGUGCAGCCACCUCCAGACCCUCCCCAGGCUUCCAUCGCUGCAUCCUUUAGUCUCUUCCCAGCAGCCUCCAGAGUGAUCCUUUCAAAAUCUCACUUCUCUGCUCAAAACUGUGGUUUCCCAUUGCCAGGGAUAUUAAGGAUAAAAGCCACAUGCUUCAUACCA
This is a long non-coding RNA of Cercocebus atys (sooty mangabey), 365 nucleotides long. RefSeq lists it as uncharacterized. The transcript has 2 exons. The record is from RefSeq and is a predicted model, not a curated record. NCBI's taxonomy places the organism in Eukaryota, Metazoa, Chordata, Mammalia, Primates, Cercopithecidae.